Molecule: ribosomal RNA, 857 nt
Filed under: uncultured bacterium
Lineage: Bacteria
Description: bacterial SSU rRNA
Rfam family: Bacterial small subunit ribosomal RNA
Source: RNAcentral
GUUUGAUCCUGGCUCAGAGCGAACGCUGGCGGCAGGCCUAACACAUGCAAGUCGAACGGACCCUUCGGGGUUAGUGGCGGACGGGUGAGUAACACGUGGGAACGUGCCUUUAGGUUCGGAAUAGCUCCUGGAAACGGGUGGUAAUGCCGAAUGUGCCCUUCGGGGGAAAGAUUUAUCGCCUUUAGAGCGGCCCGCGUCUGAUUAGCUAGUUGGUGAGGUAAAGGCUCACCAAGGCUACGAUCAGUAGCUGGUCUGAGAGGAUGACCAGCCACAUUGGGACUGAGACACGGCCCAAACUCCUACGGGAGGCAGCAGUGGGGAAUCUUGCGCAAUGGGCGAAAGCCUGACGCAGCCAUGCCGCGUGAAUGAUGAAGGUCUUAGGAUUGUAAAAUUCUUUCAGUAGGGACGAUAAUGACGGUACCUACAGAAGAAGCCCCGGCUAACUUCGUGCCAGCAGCCGCGGUAAUACGAAGGGGGCUAGCGUUGCUCGGAAUUACUGGGCGUAAAGGGAGCGUAGGCGGACAUUUAAGUCAGGGGUGAAAUCCCAGAGCUCAACUCUGGAACUGCCUUUGAUACUGGGUGUCUUGAGUGUGAUAGAGGUAUGUGGAACUCCGAGUGUAGAGGUGAAAUUCGUAGAUAUUCGGAAGAACACCAGUGGCGAAGGCGACAUACUGGAUCAUUACUGACGCUGAGGCUCGAAAGCGUGGGGAGCAAACAGGAUUAGAUACCCUGGUAGUCCACGCCGUAAACGAUGAUUGCUAGUUGUCGGGAUGUUUACAUCUCGGUGACGCAGCUAGCGCAUUAAGCAAUCCGCCUGGGGAGUACGGUCGCAAGAUUAAAACUCAAAGGAAUUGACG